GAGUGCAGGGUUUGUGUUGUAUACCAGUCAAUCAAUUGUUUGCAGAUCAAUAUCAAUCAUUAAAAUCAUGGUAGAAGUGUUUUCUGCAGUGCGCGUUUUGAAUCUGUGCAAAUGAAUAAUUCUUAGAUGUAUUUUGUACCUUUUAAAAGAUUUAAAGUAGUUUCUUAUGAAUUUAAAACCCAAGAAUUAAUUUUUCACUUAGGAUAAUAGUAUGAAUUUAUUAUAAGAUUGUGAUUAUUUUUAAGCAACCUGCAAUGCCCUUCUGCUAUGAUAUUGUCAUCAAGUUUUUCAAGUGAUUUCUAAAUCAAAAUUGUGAAUUGCAGCUUCUAAUUACCUGCAGUGAUGUCAAUCUUCCCAGAUGCUGCAAAGAUGGAUGUUAUUUUCGAACAAUGGAUAUCAUUUGAAAGUUAUUUGAGAAUAAAAAUUCUGGUUUUUGCUGUCACUUAAAAAUGAAAAGGUGACUGCUGACAGAGAAAAUGCAUCUUCCCUUCCUUUGCUGGAAGCAUGCUUCGGAAAGUUCUUGACAUUAAUGCUGAUUUCUUGCAGUUCUUCUGAUUCAUGAACCUGAUAUUAAAGAUGUGAAACAUUAUUUUCAUCCCAGCGGAUGCUAGGUAGCAUCAUUCUUUGGAUAAAAAGAAGGCAGAUUCCGCACUAGUAGUAGUUUCUUUUCUGCACAUCAUGACUACGUUGCAAGAAAAAGCACUACUUGUAACAUUGCUCUACCGGAACCAGUAGAAUGUAACAGAUUUUCUUCGUUUAAAGAAGAUAAGAAGCUCAAUUUCUCCAUGUACAGAAGAUGAUACAGAAAUUUGAAAAAAACGUGGCAUUCUUCCAGGUAGAGGACGAAAGUGAUAAUGGCCCAUCUAAUAGUGUCGAAAAUGUUCUGCUGCGGUCAUUAAAGACAUCAGUCAAUCUCCGCAUGGUAGUGAUGGCUAUUCAGAAGUCCGUGAAACUUUUGCACUUCACUUCCUUACUAAAAUAGUGAUUGAUAUCACAUUUGGAGUGACAAAGCCCACUUUUGCUUCAAUGGCUGGACCAUUAGAACACAUUCUAGAGCUCUCUGAAGUGGGAAACUUAUUUCUUGCUGACGCUAUGUGUGUGUAUACUGACAGAAAUGUUGGGCGAUGAAAUGUUUUUAAGAAUGCCUUGAAAUCCAAACCGUGUGGCCAAAAGAAAUCAAAAAUUCUUCCUGCUUUGUCUGUUAUACGAAAGGCACAGAAUUACAGGACAGCUGUGCCAAUCUACUCCAUCUGUCGAAUUUGAAAUCCAAAUUUUUAGUUUCUGAAUUCGUCACUUUUCAUAAGUGGUAUCAGUUUACCUUCUUUUGUAAUGGCUUUAAAUAAAAAAGCAUUUACUUGUAAAA
Long non-coding RNA from Argiope bruennichi, 1363 nucleotides. RefSeq lists it as uncharacterized. The record is from RefSeq and is a predicted model, not a curated record. The transcript is spliced from 9 exons. Lineage: Eukaryota; Metazoa; Arthropoda; Arachnida; Araneae; Araneidae.